RNAcentral lists this ribosomal RNA (253 nucleotides) under uncultured bacterium. Its description in RNAcentral is "partial 16S ribosomal RNA". It matches the Rfam family "Bacterial small subunit ribosomal RNA", at positions 524 to 776 of the family's 1533-position model. The record is from RNAcentral.
UACGUAGGUGGCGAGCGUUAUCCGGAAUUACUGGGCGUAAAGCGCACGCAGGCGGUCUGUCAAGUCUGACGUGAAAGCUCCUGGCUUAACUGGGAGAGGUCGUUGGAAACUGAUGGGCUUGAGGCAAUGAGAGGGGUGUAGAAUUCCCGGUGUAGUGGUGGAAUGCGUAGAGAUCGGGAGGAAUACCAGUGGCGAAGGCGGCACCCUGGCAUUGGCCUGACGCUGAGGUGCGAGAGCGUGGGGAGCGAACGGG